RNAcentral lists this long non-coding RNA (923 nucleotides) under Homo sapiens (human). Its description in RNAcentral is "long non-coding RNA NONHSAT138820.2". Lineage: Eukaryota; Metazoa; Chordata; Mammalia; Primates; Hominidae. The record is from RNAcentral.
CCAAUGUUCAGGGCCUCCAGAAAUAUCAAUGUCCAGAGUAACCAAUGUCUUCAAAAUCCAAGGCUUGCAAUGUCUCCAAUAUCCUGUGCUUACAAUGUUUCCAAUGUCCAGGGUUUCCGAUGGCACCUGUGUCAAGGUCUUCCAACAACUCCGGGUCUUCCAGCGACUUCAAGUCUUCCAAUAAUCUCAAGGUCUUCCAGAUAAUCCUGAGCUUCCAGAAAAUCCACGUCUUCCAGAAAAUCCAUGUCUUCCAGAAAAUCCAUGUCUUCCAGUAACCUCCCAGUCUUCCAGAAAAUCCACGUCUUCCCAACAAUCCAAGUCUUCCGGAUAAUUUGGGUCUUCCUGAAAAUCUACGUCUUCCAAAAAAGCCAUGUCUUCCAGAAAAUCCACAUCUUCCAAUGGCCUCCAGGUCUUCCAGACUAUCCAUGUCUUCCAGAAAAUCCUUGUCUUCCCUUAAAUCUAUAGCUUCCAAAAAAUCCGGGUCUUCCAGGAAAUCCGUGUCUUCCAGCAAGUCCACGUCUUCCAACAAAGCCAUGUCUUCCAGACUAUCCAUGUCUUCCAGAAAAUCCUUGUCUUCCCUCAAAUCCAUAGCUUCCGAAAAAUCCAGGUCUUCCAGGAAAUCCGUGUCUUCCAGCAAAUCCACGUCUUCCAACAAAGCCAUGUCUUCCAUCAAAUUAAUGUCUUCCAGCCUACUUGUGUCUUCCAACAAAGGUCUUCCAGCAUCUCCAGGGCUUCCAGCAUCUGCUCGUCUUCCAACAUCUCCACGUCUUCCAGCAUCUCUGUGUCUUCCAGCAUCUUCAUGUCUUCCAACAACUACCCAGUCUUCCAUCAACUGGCUCAAUAUCCAUGUCUUCCAACGUCUCCAGUGUGCUGAUCUUCUGACAUUCAGGUCUUCCAGUGUCUGCAAUAUCCAGGUAUUCUAA